RNAcentral lists this ribosomal RNA (642 nucleotides) under Poyntonia paludicola (Kogelberg Reserve frog). Its description in RNAcentral is "partial 12S small subunit ribosomal RNA". It matches the Rfam family "Bacterial small subunit ribosomal RNA", at positions 319 to 1256 of the family's 1533-position model. The record is from RNAcentral. Lineage: Eukaryota; Metazoa; Chordata; Amphibia; Anura; Pyxicephalidae.
CAGAUAAAGGAGCCGGCAUCAGGCACAGAUUUCUAGCCCAUAACGCCUAGUCCUGUCACACCCUCAAGGGUCCUCAGCAGUGAUAAAUAUUGUCCAUAAGCGCUAGCUUGACCCAGUUAAAGAAAUUAAGGGCCGGCCAACCCGGUGCCAGCCGCCGCGGCUAUACCAAGGGGCUCAAGUUGAUAACCUUCGGCGUUAAGCGUGAUUAAAGAACAACUAAAAUAGAGUUAAAUUUAAACCCAGCUGUUAUAAGCUUGCUAUUUAGAAAAACAUAAACGAAAGUUACUCUAACUUAACUUGAACCCACGACAGCUAGGGUACAAACUGGGAUUGGAUACCCCACUAUGCCUCGCCGUAAAAUAUUUACUUACAUAACCAACGCCCGGGUAUUACGAGCUUAAGCUUAAAACCCAAGGGACUUGACGGUGUCCCAUCCAUCUAGAGGAGCCUGUUCUAUAAUCGACACCCCCCGCUAUACCUCACCAUUUUUAGCCUCUCAGUCUGUAUACCUCCGUCGCAAGCUUACCAUGUGAACGUAUUUAGUAAGCCUAAUGGUUACUUCACCAACACGUCAGGUCAAGGUGCAACCUAUAAAAUGGGAAGUAAUGGGCUACAAUUUCUAACUUAGAACAAACGAAAAAA